CCUAAGGUAGCGAAAUUCCUUGUCGGGUAAGUUCCGACCUGCACGAAUGGAGUAAUGAUGGCGGCGCUGUCUCCACCCGAGACUCAGUGAAAUUGAAAUCGCUGUGAAGAUGCAGUGUACCCGCGGCAAGACGGAAAGACCCCGUGAACCUUUACUAUAGCUUGGCACUGGACUCUGACACUAUCUGUGUAGGAUAGGUGGGAGACUUUGAAGCGUGGUCGCUAGACUGCGUGGAGUCAACCUUGAAAUACCACCCUGGUAUUGUCGGGGUUCUAACGCUGACCCGUCAUCCGGGUUGCGGACAGUGUCUGGUGGGUAGUUUGACUGGGGCGGUCUCCUCCCAAAGAGUAACGGAGGAGCACGAAGGUACCCUCAGCAUGGUCGGAAAUCAUGCAAUGAGCGCAAUGGUAGAAGGGUGCUUAACUGCGAGACCCACAAGUCGAGCAGGUACGAAAGUAGGUCAUAGUGAUCCGGUGGUUCUGUAUGGAAGGGCCAUCGCUCAACGGAUAAAAGGUACUCCGGGGAUAACAGGCUGAUUCCGCCCAAGAGUUCACAUCGACGGCGGAGUUUGGCACCUCGAUGUCGGCUCAUCACAUCCUGGGGCUGAAGCCGGUCCCAAGGGUAUGGCUGUUCGCCAUUUAAAGUGGUACGCGAGCUGGGUUCAGAACGUCGUGAGACAGUUCGGUCCCUAUCUGUCGUGGGCGUUGGAGAUUUGAGAAGAGUUGCUCCUAGUACGAGAGGACCGGAGUGAACGAACCUCUGGUGUUCGGGUUGUCACGCCAGUGGCAUUGCCCGGUAGCUAUGUUCGGACGGGAUAACCGCUGAAAGCAUCUAAGCGGGAAGCCUCCUUCAAGAUGAGAUCUCCCUGGGGCUUUAAGUCCCCUGAAGGGCCGUCGAAGACUACGACGUUGAUAGGUUGGGUGUGUAAGCGCUGUGAGGCGUUGAGCUAACCAAUACUAAUUGCCCGUGAGGCUUGACCAU
RNAcentral lists this ribosomal RNA (981 nucleotides) under activated sludge metagenome. RNAcentral's name for it is "bacterial LSU rRNA". It matches the Rfam family "Bacterial large subunit ribosomal RNA", at positions 1950 to 2925 of the family's 2925-position model. The record is from RNAcentral.